RNAcentral lists this long non-coding RNA (855 nucleotides) under Phocoena sinus (vaquita). RNAcentral describes it as "lncRNA (ENSPSNG00000021475.1)". Lineage: Eukaryota; Metazoa; Chordata; Mammalia; Artiodactyla; Phocoenidae. The record is from RNAcentral.
GGCGGCGGCGGCGGCGGCGGCGGCGGCGGCGGCGAGUGGCGUGAUGGAGUGUGAGGCGGAGCGCCGCCCCUUGGGUGUGUUUGAGUGCCAGCUCUGUGCCUUAACUGCUCCGUAUAGCUACGUGGGGCAGCAGCCCCCCGGCACCCAGUCUGUCGUCCUCCUGGAGGAGAGCUACGUCAUGAGGGACCCCUUCACCCCCGACAAGGACAGAUUCCUGAUCCUCGGCUCCAGAUGCGGCUCAUGUGGCAGGCUGGUGUGCGUGGGCCCGGAAUGCAGUUUAUUCUACUCCAAGAGAUUUUGCCUCCCCUGUGUCUGGGAGAACAUUGAUGCUUUCCCUCAGGAAAUUCAGCAAGACUUGGAGAAAAGGAAAGUCCCAUCCAAGAGGCCUGCCAGCCAGCUUGGUUCUCGAACAUGAGUCCAGUCGGGUACCAGGUCCGCAGCAGUGCACUGCAUGGGGCUCCUGGCCAGCGGGCUUCUGUGGCCUGGCUCAGAGAUGGGGCCAAGCUGGGAGCCGCUGUCACCGACCUUGUUUCUGGGCCAUCGGGAGCCGUGUCUGCAGCCAGAGGGAGCUGGGGUCCGCCCGCAGCAGCAACACGGCCAGGAGCCACGCAGAGAGGGCGCCCAAAAGGCAGACCCCAGACCCCGGUGCUCCGAAGACCGCAGCACCCCCGCCCUCACGGCGCCCACCUUAGCGAUUGGUGAGACACUGAUUGUGGGCUCUCCAUGUGCCUGCCAGUUCUUAGAGGGCAGGAACUGCUCUGUCCGAUUCUGUAGUUUCCGCAGGACCAGCGCACACUGCCUGGAGGGUGUUAGAAACGUGUUUGAUGAGAGUAUGAAUAAAGGUUUUACUGACCG